Molecule: ribosomal RNA, 404 nt
Filed under: uncultured bacterium
Lineage: Bacteria
Description: partial 16S ribosomal RNA
Rfam family: Bacterial small subunit ribosomal RNA
Source: RNAcentral
GACGAACGCUGGCGGCGUGCUUAACACAUGCAAGUCAAGCGGAGCGGCGAACGGGUGAGGAAAGCGUGAGUAACUGCCCCCCUCUCUGGGAGAAGAGUUGGAAACGGCUGCGAAUACCGGAUAGUGGGGGAUGACUCGCGUCCUAUCAGCUUGUUGGUGGGGGAGUGGCGUACCAAGGCGACGACGGGUAGCCGGCCUGAGAGGGCGACCGGCCCCAUUGGGCUGAGAUACGGCCCAAACUGCUACGGGGGGCAGCCGUGGGGGAUAUUGCACAAUGGGGGAAACCCUGAUGCAGCAACGCGCGUGCGGGAUGACUGCCUUCGGGUUGUAAACCGCUUUCAGCCAUGACGCGGUAGUGGCAGAAGAAGCACCGGCUAACUACGUGCCAGCAGCCGCGGUAAUUC